UCUCUGAGCUCAGAGCACACUUCAAGAGCUAAUAUUUCCCCUACCUGAGAACUUUAAAAAUGGUCUAAAAAUCCAUAGCCAGAUACUAUAUGUUGGUGCCUUGAUGUUGUUUUUAACUGAGAGAAGUUAGCAGCAAAAACCAUCUUCUUGUUUAUUACUGAAUGGAUUGUGGGAAUAUCCACCUUUGCCAGCUUCAUCAGAGAAGGGAUCAUACGUGAAAAGAGGCCAAAUCACUUCAAAACUUGGACCUAUUUCAAGUCAUCAGCAGCUUCAGAAUUUUUCUCCUGAGCCAAAGAAAACAAAAAUUGCAAUUAGAGGUUUCUCUAGCCUUGUUAAAGAAGAGCACAUGUAACAGUGAUCCAUAAACCCAGGAAGGCUCGCCUGGGUGAUCUGCUAUGCCAAAGAGCUUCAAUAACCAUAAUCCAUCAUGGGAAAAGGAGUAGCAGGCAAGAGGAUAUGUGGAGAACAAUCAUAUGGAUGGAAAACACCCUCAUUAUCAAAGGUGCAGCAAAAUGGUGGUAGAAGCUUGUUGAAAAUUCAGACACUUAGGGCUCAUCUUUGCGACCUCUAUUCACGAAAUCUCGGA
Molecule: non-coding RNA, 586 nt
Organism: Delphinapterus leucas (beluga whale)
Lineage: Eukaryota; Metazoa; Chordata; Mammalia; Artiodactyla; Monodontidae
Source: RefSeq, a predicted model, not a curated record